This 385-nucleotide ribosomal RNA is filed under the name Escherichia coli. RNAcentral's name for it is "bacterial SSU rRNA". It matches the Rfam family "Bacterial small subunit ribosomal RNA", at positions 1050 to 1435 of the family's 1533-position model. Lineage: Bacteria; Pseudomonadati; Pseudomonadota; Gammaproteobacteria; Enterobacterales; Enterobacteriaceae. The record is from RNAcentral.
UGUCGUCAGCUCGUGUUGUGAAAUGUUGGGUUAAGUCCCGCAACGAGCGCAACCCUUAUCCUUUGUUGCCAGCGGUCCGGCCGGGAACUCAAAGGAGACUGCCAGUGAUAAACUGGAGGAAGGUGGGGAUGACGUCAAGUCAUCAUGGCCCUUACGACCAGGGCUACACACGUGCUACAAUGGCGCAUACAAAGAGAAGCGACCUCGCGAGAGCAAGCGGACCUCAUAAAGUGCGUCGUAGUCCGGAUUGGAGUCUGCAACUCGACUCCAUGAAGUCGGAAUCGCUAGUAAUCGUGGAUCAGAAUGCCACGGUGAAUACGUUCCCGGGCCUUGUACACACCGCCCGUCACACCAUGGGAGUGGGUUGCAAAAGAAGUAGGUAGCU